RNAcentral lists this ribosomal RNA (622 nucleotides) under Malassezia sympodialis. RNAcentral describes it as "eukaryotic LSU rRNA". The stretch from base 176 to 329 matches the Rfam family "5.8S ribosomal RNA". The record is from RNAcentral. Lineage: Eukaryota; Fungi; Basidiomycota; Malasseziomycetes; Malasseziales; Malasseziaceae.
ACAUCGUAGACUUAGUGAGAUUUGGGCCAGCCAUACGGACGCUACCGCGUCUCUGGCGCCCACCACUAUAUCCACACCAACCCCUGUGCACUGUGAUGGCGAAAGUCAUCGAACCAAAAAAACUCGUAUGGUUGUAUGUACGUGAAACUGUAGGCUUUGCCUACGAACUAUACACAACUUUCGACAACGGAUCUCUUGGUUCUCCCAUCGAUGAAGAACGCAGCGAAACGCGAUAGGUAAUGUGAAUUGCAGAAUUCCGUGAAUCAUCGAGUCUUUGAACGCACCUUGCGCUCCAUGGUAUUCCGUGGAGCAUGCCUGUUUGAGUGCCGCGAAUUCUCCCUCCCCAUACGGUGGCCGAAAGGCCGGAGUAUGGCGGACGGGGUUGGAUGGGUGCCGCUGCCUGGGAAACCAGGCUCGCCCGAAAUGCAUAAGCGCCAGGACCCUCGCUACUGCCCUCUAGGGAAGGGCGGCUGAGCGACCGCUGAGCAUGGCAUGAUACGUCAUUUGCUGUGUGUGGGCGGCCGGUUGGAGAGGUGUCUGCUUUAUACAGCCCUUUUUAUUCUGGUCUCAAAUCAGGUAGGAUCACCCGCUGAACUUAAGCAUAUCAAAAGCCCGGAGGAAA